Molecule: ribosomal RNA, 497 nt
Filed under: uncultured bacterium
Lineage: Bacteria
Description: partial 16S ribosomal RNA
Rfam family: Bacterial small subunit ribosomal RNA
Source: RNAcentral
GACGAACGCUGGCGGCGUGCCUAAUACAUGCAAGUUGAGCGAUGAAGAUUGGUGCUUGCACCCAUUUGAAGAGCAGCGAACGGGUGAGUAACGCGUGGGGAAUCUGCCUUUGAGCGGGGGACAACAUUUGGAAACGAAUGCUAAUACCGCAUAACAACUUUAAACAUAAGUUUUAAGUUUGAAAGAUGCAAUUGCAUCACUCAAAGAUGAUCCCGCGUUGUAUUAGCUAGUUGGUGAGGUAAAGGCUCACCAAGGCGAUGAUACAUAGCCGACCUGAGAGGGUGGUCGGCCACAUUGGGACUGAGACACGGCCCAAACUCCUACGGGAGGCAGCAGUAGGGAAUCUUCGGCAAUAGACGAAAGUCUGACCGAGCAACGCCGCGUGAGUGAAGAAGGUUGUCGGAUCGUAAAACUCUGUUGGUAGAGAAGAACGUUGGUGAGAGUGGAAAGCUCAUCAAGUGACGGUAACUACCCAGAAAGGGACGGCUAACUACGUG